Molecule: ribosomal RNA, 258 nt
Filed under: uncultured bacterium
Lineage: Bacteria
Description: partial 16S ribosomal RNA
Rfam family: Bacterial small subunit ribosomal RNA
Source: RNAcentral
UACGUAGGUGGCAAGCGUUGUCCGGAUUUAUUGGGUUUAAAGGGUGCGUAGGCGGUUUUAUAAGUCAGUGGUGAAAUACAAUAGCUUAACUAUUGAGGUGCCAUUGAUACUGUAAGACUUGAGUACAGACGAGGUAGGCGGAAUUGACGGUGUAGCGGUGAAAUGCGUAGAUAUCGGGAGGAACACCAGUGGCGAAGGCGGCAUCCUGGCCCUGUCCUGACGCUCAGGGGCGAAAGCGUGGGGAGCAAACCGGAUUAG